This is a non-coding RNA of Oryza glumipatula, 198 nucleotides long. The record is from Rfam. Lineage: Eukaryota; Viridiplantae; Streptophyta; Magnoliopsida; Poales; Poaceae.
AAUAAUUGUAGUUUGUAUUGUUCAUAUCUAACGUUUGACCGUUCGUGUUAUUUGAAAAUUUUCUGUGGUUAGUAUUUUUAUUGUUAUUAGAUGAUAAUACAUGAAUAGUAUUUUAUGUGCGACUAAUUUUUUCAAUUUUUUUUUAAAAUAAGACGAACUGUUAAACGUUGGACACGGAUAUCCACAGCUACACUUAUU